This 635-nucleotide ribosomal RNA is filed under the name Loigolactobacillus coryniformis. RNAcentral describes it as "bacterial SSU rRNA". It matches the Rfam family "Bacterial small subunit ribosomal RNA", at positions 67 to 685 of the family's 1533-position model. The record is from RNAcentral. Lineage: Bacteria; Bacillati; Bacillota; Bacilli; Lactobacillales; Lactobacillaceae.
CUGCUUGCAGUGGACGUUGUAUUGACGUGAGUGGCGGACGGGUGAGUAACACGUGGGUAACCUACCCUUAAGUGGGGGAUAACAUUUGGAAACAGAUGCUAAUACCGCAUAACCAUUCAGACCACAUGGUCUGAAUGUAAAAGACGGCCUGUGGCUGUCACUUUUGGACGGACCCGCGGCGUAUUAGUUAGCUGGUAAGGUAACGGCUUACCGAGACAAUGAUACGUAGCCGACCUGAGAGGGUAAUCGGCCACAUUGGGACUGAGACACGGCCCAAACUAAAACGGGAGGCAGCAGUAGGGAAUCUUCCACAAUGGACGAAAGUCUGAUGGAGCAACGCCGCGUGAGUGAAGAAGGUUUUAGGAUCGUAAAACUCUGUUGUUGGAGAAUAACAGGGACUAGAGUAACUGUUAGUCCUUUGACGGUAUCCAACCAGAAAGCCACGGCUAACUACGUGCCAGCAGCCGCGGUAAUACGUAAGUGGCAAGCGUUGUCCGGAUUUAUUGGGCGUAAAGCGAGCGCAGGCGGUUUUUUAAGUCUGAUGUGAAAGCCUUCGGCUUAACCUAAUAAGCGCAUUAGAAACUGGGAAACUUGAGUGCACAAGAGGACAGUGGAACUCCAUGUGUAGCGGUGAA